CCUACGGGAGGCAGCAGUGAGGAAUAUUGGUCAAUGGACGAGAGUCUGAACCAGCCAAGUAGCGUGAAGGAUGACUGCCCUAUGGGUUGUAAACUUCUUUUAUAUGGGAAUAAAAUGUUCCACGUGUGGGAUUUUGUAUGUACCAUAUGAAUAAGGAUCGGCUAACUCCGUGGCAGCAGCCGCGGUAAUACGGAGGAUCCGAGCGUUAUCCGGAUUUAUUGGGUUUAAAGGGAGCGUAGGUGGAUUGUUAAGUCAGUUGUGAAAGUUUGCGGCUCAACCGUAAAAUUGCAGUUGAAACUGGCAGUCUUGAGUACAGUAGAGGUGGGCGGAAUUCGUGGUGUAGCGGUGAAAUGCUUAGAUAUCACGAAGAACUCCGAUUGCGAAGGCAGCUCACUGGACUGCAACUGACACUGAGGCUCGAAAGUGUGGGUAUCAAACAGGAUUAGAUACCCCUGUAGUC
This 460-nucleotide ribosomal RNA is filed under the name uncultured bacterium. Its description in RNAcentral is "partial 16S ribosomal RNA". It matches the Rfam family "Bacterial small subunit ribosomal RNA", at positions 338 to 795 of the family's 1533-position model. The record is from RNAcentral.